RNAcentral lists this long non-coding RNA (2184 nucleotides) under Brassica napus (rape). Its description in RNAcentral is "long non-coding RNA (BNAP_LNC006758)". The record is from RNAcentral. Lineage: Eukaryota; Viridiplantae; Streptophyta; Magnoliopsida; Brassicales; Brassicaceae.
AAACGCAAAGAGAUGCAAAGAGAAAUGGGAAAACAUAAACAAAUACUACAAAAAAGUUAAAGAAAGCAACAAGAAACGUCCUCAAGAUGCUAAGACAUGUCCUUAUUAUCACCGCCUUGAUCUUCUUUACCGCAGCAAAGUACUCGGUAGUGGUGCCGGUUCUAGCACUUCUGCUCUACCUCAAGACCAAAUAUCAAAUAUACAAAAGCAGAGUCCGGUCUCUGCAAUGAAGCCGUCACAAGAAGGGGAUGUUAACGUCCAUCAAGGAGAAGAACCAAGAGAGGAAACUCCACAAGGAGCGGAGAAGGUACAAACUUGGCUUAUCAUUUUCAAAAUGUGAAUUGGUUUUGUUUCUUAACAGCUAAAAAUCUUGAUUUGUUGGAAUUGAAGCCAGAAGACCUUGUGAUGAGAGAGCUGAUGCAACAAAAACAACAACAAGAAGAAGAUUCAAUGAUAGGCGAGUAUGAAAAGAUUGAGGCGUCUCACAACUAUAACAUGGAAGAAGAAGAGAUGGAUGAAGAACUAGACGAGGAUGAGAAAUCCGCGGCUUAUGAGAUUGCAUUUCAGAGCCCUGCAAACAGAGGAGGUAAUGGCCACUCUGAGCCACCUUUCUUGACAAUGGUUCAGUAAAUCAGAAUCACUGUUCUUCAAAUUAUACCCUUGUACCAAGAAAAUGUACUUAUGUGUGCAUAGCUUCUAAACAACACCAAAAACCUCAAAAACACACACACAUCUGACCCAAGAAACUGAAAAUCGAGGUCUCAUCAAUCUUGAUUUUCCAGUGAAUACAAUUCUUUCUUUCACAUUAUUUCCCUUGUUCCUUUUCUUUCUCAGUCUCUUGUUUGUUUCUCUGUUCAUUGUUUUCUUCUUCAGCACACACACCCCCCCACCCACAUAAACAAAAACUCUAGCUAAAGGUCUUUUAGUUUAUUUGGAGUUGUAAUUCAUCAGCAAGUCUCAUACUUUUUCUCUUCUUAAAACAUUUGUUGAUUGGUUAAUUGGGGAAUAAAAGAGUCUUUUAUCUUCUCAAUUCCCCGUUUUCUCUCUAACCCAAACGCCACCACCGUCCCAACCGCUUCCACCGCACACAGUCUCCUUUACUCCCAAUCCAUUGCCUCCUCCUCCUCCUCCUUCAGUAGAUCCCCCAUUUCCCGGAGGUACCUUCUCUUCUCACAGCUCAUCGACGGCUUCAGGAAUGGGGUCUGAUGAUGACGACGACAUGGACGUGGAUCAGGCGGGUCCCAGUAGCCACAAACGCAAACGUGAAAACCGAGGCACUGGAGGCGGCAAGAUGAUGGAACUAUUCCAAGGUUUGGUGAGACAAGUGAUGCAGAAACAAGCGGCGAUGCAACGGAGCUUUCUCGAGGCGCUUGAGAAGAGAGAACAAGAACGUCUUGCUCGAGAAGAAGCUUGGAAACGCCAAGAGAUGUCUCGGUUAGCUCGAGAGCACGAGAUCAUGACUCAAGAACGAGCGGCUUCUUCUUCCCGUGACGCUGCAAUCAUCUCGUUGAUCCAGAAAAUUACUGGCCAUACCAUUCAGUUACCUCCUUCUUUAUCAUCACAACCGUCUCCGCCGCCACCUGCCGCUAAACAUCCUUCAUCACAAGCUGUAGAACCACCUCAUUCUCAACCAAUAAUGGCGAUUCCACAACAACAAGUUCUUCCUCCUCCUCAACCACCACCACCACAACAACAACAACAAGAGAUGAUUAUGAGCUCGGAUCAAUCGUUACCGUCAUCAUCGAGAUGGCCAAAGGAGGAGAUUCUUGCUCUUAUAAACCUGAGGAGCGGAAUGGAACCAAGGUACCAAGAUAAUGUCCCUAAAGGACUUUUAUGGGAAGAGAUCUCAUCUUCAAUGAAGAGAAUGGGAUACAACAGAAACGCAAAGAGAUGCAAAGAGAAAUGGGAAAACAUAAACAAAUACUACAAAAAAGUUAAAGAAAGCAACAAGAAACGUCCUCAAGAUGCUAAGACAUGUCCUUAUUAUCACCGCCUUGAUCUUCUUUACCGCAGCAAAGUACUCGGUAGUGGUGCCGGUUCUAGCACUUCUGCUCUACCUCAAGACCAAAUAUCAAAUAUACAAAAGCAGAGUCCGGUCUCUGCAAUGAAGCCGUCACAAGAAGGGGAUGUUAACGUCCAUCAAGGAGAAGAACCAAGAGAGGAAACUCCACAAGGAGCGGAGAA